AAAUUUAUAUAUAAAAUAUUAAUUAAAAUUAAUAAAUUCUUAUUACAUUAUAUUGGGGCGAUAGAAAUAUAAAUAAUAACUGUUUUUGUAAAUUAAAUAUUAUAAAUAUUAUAAGAAUUGAUCCUUAAUUUAGGAUUAAAAGUUCAAGUU
RNAcentral lists this ribosomal RNA (150 nucleotides) under Discias exul. Its description in RNAcentral is "partial 16S ribosomal RNA". The record is from RNAcentral. Lineage: Eukaryota; Metazoa; Arthropoda; Malacostraca; Decapoda; Disciadidae.